UGAGCCUCUGUGAAUGCCUCUGUACUUCAUCUUUACUUAGUAUCUUUAAUUAUUUGCUCAGGAUAAAUUCUCAGAAUUUAAAUUGUGAGGUCAUAGGGCAUGCGUAUUUUUAAGGCUUGAUAGGUCCUACCCACAUGGCUCUCUGAGGAGCUGUGCGAGUUUACCUUCGACGAUGGCCCACAGAAACGUAGUGAUGGUGGCUGGCUUUUUAAAGAAGUGAAGGUGGUACCUUGAAAACUAAGUGAUACAUGAUCAUUCAAGCUGAAAGUGUCGAUGGUUUGCUGUAGGAUUAAACAUCACGUGGUGUUAGGUGUUCCUAGGCCGAUGGAUACACCCAAGGAUGAAAGAUGGUUAGGAGCCUGGACCAAGUCCUAUUAUUCAUGGAAUUUGUUCUGCAAAUUAAAAAAAAUGACCCCUUGAAAGUUGACUAAAGUGAAAUUCUAUGUUUGAACUCUGCUUUUCCAUUGACUCUCAUGUGAAAGCAAAUUAUAUAUUCAGUUAAUCCAUAAAUAUUUGUUAACUUGUUUAUUCAAGGUACAAUUUCCAUCAGGUUUUCCAAAAACAAAGACUAAGGAAAAACAAUGAUGAAACCAGUAACCUGAAGAAAUGAUCUGUCCUAAUUUAAUGACAGAAAUCGUUUUAGCUUCAUUUCCAACUCUCUCGUUCUUCUUUCUAAUACUGCACACACUCAAACCUGAAAGCAC
RNAcentral lists this long non-coding RNA (704 nucleotides) under Homo sapiens (human). Its description in RNAcentral is "HSALNT0337726". Lineage: Eukaryota; Metazoa; Chordata; Mammalia; Primates; Hominidae. The record is from RNAcentral.